Dermacentor albipictus is the source of this 919-nucleotide long non-coding RNA. RefSeq lists it as uncharacterized. Lineage: Eukaryota; Metazoa; Arthropoda; Arachnida; Ixodida; Ixodidae. The record is from RefSeq and is a predicted model, not a curated record.
AAAGUGGGAACCUCUAGGGCGCCGCCCUGUUGCUACUGGUCAAUGUGGCCAGCGCAAUUACUAUUGAAAGAGCUGAGAACAAGUACAGGUCACCUUAUGCUUUGUCACCUAAAAACGCAUACCUGAUGGCUUUAUGAAGGUGGUACGUUAAUAUUAAGUUUACAGAAAGCGAUCGCUAAGUCCGUGACUUAUGUAAAUCACGAUGUACGCAUUCAUGCAAUAAAGGAUGACGCGAAUUUCGGUUUCGAAUCUGUUUUUUGGAUGCGUAGUAGUUUCGUUUGACAUGCGAUCGCGCGUCGACAUCGGACGCUAUGACACACUCGUGCCUUAUGUGCCACCGAAGCCCCGAAGUGGUCUGGCAUAUACCUUCACAUAUAUGCAAUGGCAAGCCCUUCCGUGUGUUCCAAAGACAAUGCCUACGCCUAGCCACAGCAGCUCCCUCAUACAGACUCCACAAACCAAGAGGCCGUGGAGGCAAAUGCAGGCAGCCAGCACACCUCGAACAGCCACCUUGACUGCGGGUGUGUCACCCUAGUCGCGAAGGAAACAUUUGAGGGAAAGUGACAGGCAAUGUGAACAGCCACUUCUCCAUGUAAACAAUACUCUUUCUCUCGGAUGACUCCUACGCCUCACCACGCCAGCACACUUGUGCACAAAGAUGCCGCAGAGGCAUGUGCAGGUCAGAGGCAAGAAGCAGUGGCACUGGUGUCGACAUUUAGCCAAUUUCUUUUUCUUACACUGAGGCAGCCAGCACACCUCGAACAGCCACCUUGACUGCGGGUGUGUUAGUUGAUUCCUGUUGUACAUAUGCUCAUAAUAAACUUCAGUAAACUUGAACUUCAUAAUAAACUUGAAGGCAAAUGGGACAUUGAUGCAUUGUAUUUUUGAACAUUUAUUGUACACAUACAAUAUAUGUUAU